CCUACGGGUGGCAGCAGUGGGGAAUAUUGGGCAAUGGGCGCAAGCCUGACCCAGCAACGCCGCGUGAAGGAAGAAGGCUUUCGGGUUGUAAACUUCUAUUAAGAGGGAAGAGCAGAAGACGGUACCUCUUGAAUAAGCCACGGCUAACUAUGUGCCAGCAGCCGCGGGAAUACGUAGGUGGCAAGCGUUGUGCGGAUGUACUGGGUGUAAAGGGCGUGGAGCCGGGCUGGCAAGUCUGAUGUGAAAUUACGGGGCUCAACCCCGGACCUGCAUUUGAAACUGGUGAUCUCGAGUGUCGGAGAGGCAGGCGGAAUUCCUAGUGUAGCGGUGAAAUGCGUAGAUAUUAGGAGGAACACCAGUGGCGAAGGCGGCCUACUGGACGACAACUGACGGUGAGGCGCGAAAGCGUGGGGAGCAAACAGGAUUAGAUACCCUGGUAGUC
Molecule: ribosomal RNA, 442 nt
Filed under: uncultured bacterium
Lineage: Bacteria
Description: partial 16S ribosomal RNA
Rfam family: Bacterial small subunit ribosomal RNA
Source: RNAcentral